This is a long non-coding RNA of Homo sapiens (human), 365 nucleotides long. RefSeq lists it as uncharacterized. The record is from RefSeq and is a predicted model, not a curated record. NCBI's taxonomy places the organism in Eukaryota, Metazoa, Chordata, Mammalia, Primates, Hominidae. The transcript has 3 exons.
CACAGCUCACUGCAGCCUCAAGUUCCUAGGCUCAAGCAAUCCUCCCACCUCAGCCUUCUGAGUAGCUAGGACCAGAGGCUCAUGCCACUAUACCCAGGCAAGGACACAACAUUUAUCCACUAUGCAGGAUGCAACAACAGGGCACCAUCUUGGAAGCAGGGAGCAGCCCACACCAGACAUCAGACCUUGGACUUUCCAGCCUCCACAACUCCUCCAACCCUUGGCAGCCACCAUUCUACUCUCUGCUUCUACAAGUUCAACAACUUCAACAAGAAGUUCAACAACUUCUACAAGUUUCAGAAUUUGCUACCUUCUAACCAUGUGACUUUGGGAAAUUAUUUCAUCCACCUAUGUGUUCAGUAAGA